UGGUGGAGCGAUUUGUCUGGUUAAUUCCGAUAACGAACGAGACUCUAGCCUACUAAAUAGACCCCGGUGUUAACUUCUAAACUACCACCGGGGGACUUCUUAGAGGGACAGUCGGCGAUUCAGCCGGACGAAACAGAGCAAUAACA
RNAcentral lists this ribosomal RNA (146 nucleotides) under uncultured eukaryote. Its description in RNAcentral is "partial 18S ribosomal RNA". It matches the Rfam family "Eukaryotic small subunit ribosomal RNA", at positions 1299 to 1458 of the family's 1831-position model. The record is from RNAcentral.